Molecule: transfer RNA, 85 nt
Filed under: Rhodobacter capsulatus SB 1003
Lineage: Bacteria; Pseudomonadati; Pseudomonadota; Alphaproteobacteria; Rhodobacterales
Description: tRNA-Leu
Rfam family: tRNA
About the family: Transfer RNA (tRNA) molecules are approximately 80 nucleotides in length.
Source: RNAcentral
UGCGGGUGUGGCGGAAUGGUAGACGCGACAGACUCAAACUCUGUUUCCGCAAGGAGUGUCGGUUCGAGUCCGACCACCCGCACCA